Molecule: ribosomal RNA, 457 nt
Filed under: uncultured Nitrospira sp.
Lineage: Bacteria; Pseudomonadati; Nitrospirota; Nitrospiria; Nitrospirales; Nitrospiraceae
Description: bacterial SSU rRNA
Rfam family: Bacterial small subunit ribosomal RNA
Source: RNAcentral
CCUACGGGGGGCAGCAGUAAGGAAUAUUGCGCAAUGGGCGAAAGCCUGACGCAGCGACGCCGCGUGGGGGAUGAAGGUCUUCGGAUUGUAAACCCCUUUCGGGAGGGAAGAUGGAAUAGGGUAACCUAUUCGGACGGUACCUCCAGAAGCAGCCACGGCUAACUUCGUGCCAGCAGCCGCGGUAAUACGAAGGUGGCAAGCGUUGUUCGGAUUUACUGGGCGUACAGGGAGCGUAGGCGGUUGGAUAAGCCCUCCGUGAAAUCUCCAGGCUUAACCUGGAAAGUGCAGAGGGGACUGUUCAGCUAGAGGAUGGGAGAGGAGCGCGGAAUUCCCGGUGUAGCGGUGAAAUGCGUAGAGAUCGGGAGGAAGGCCGGUGGCGAAGGCGGCGCUCUGGAACAUUUCUGACGCUGAGGCUCGAAAGCGUGGGGAGCAAACAGGAUUAGAUACCCCAGUAGUC